RNAcentral lists this long non-coding RNA (316 nucleotides) under Marmota monax (woodchuck). The record is from RNAcentral. Lineage: Eukaryota; Metazoa; Chordata; Mammalia; Rodentia; Sciuridae.
CCAACAACAAGAAGAGAGUUCUUGGGUCCUGAGCAUCCAGGAGGGACAAAAUGCCACCAUGAACUGCAGUUAUAAAACUAGUACUAACAACCUGCAGUGGUACAGACAGGACUCAGGUAAAAGUCCUGCUCUGGUGAUUUUAAUACGUUCAAAUGAGAAAGAAAAACACAGUGGAAGACUAACAGCCACCCUGGACACCUCCACCAAAAGAAGCGUCCUGUCCAUCACGGCUUCCCAGGCUGCAGAUGCUUCCACUUACUUCUGUGCUACAGAUGCACAGUGAUCAGCAGGCACCUGCAGCCCUGACGCAAACCCU